GAUGAACGCUGGCGGCGUGCCUAAUACAUGCAAGUCGAGCGAACAGAUGAGGAGCUUGCUCCUCUGACGUUAGCGGCGGACGGGUGAGUAACACGUGGAUAACCUACCUAUAAGACUGGGAUAACUUCGGGAAACCGGAGCUAAUACCGGAUAAUAUAUUGAACCGCAUGGUUCAAUAGUGAAAGACGGUUUUGCUGUCACUUAUAGAUGGAUCCGCGCCGCAUUAGCUAGUUGGUAAGGUAACGGCUUACCAAGGCAACGAUGCGUAGCCGACCUGAGAGGGUGAUCGGCCACACUGGAACUGAGACACGGUCCAGACUCCUACGGGAGGCAGCAGUAGGGAAUCUCCGCAAUGGGCGAAAGCCUGACGGAGCAACGCCGCGUGAGUGAUGAAGGUCUUCGGAUCGUAAAACUCUGUUAUUAGGGAAGAACAAAUGUGUAAGUAACUAUGCACGUCUUGACGGUACCUAAUCAGAAAGCCACGGCUAACUACGUG
RNAcentral lists this ribosomal RNA (496 nucleotides) under uncultured bacterium. RNAcentral's name for it is "partial 16S ribosomal RNA". It matches the Rfam family "Bacterial small subunit ribosomal RNA", at positions 28 to 507 of the family's 1533-position model. The record is from RNAcentral.